RNAcentral lists this long non-coding RNA (873 nucleotides) under Rattus norvegicus (Norway rat). Its description in RNAcentral is "long non-coding RNA NONRATT002126". The record is from RNAcentral. Lineage: Eukaryota; Metazoa; Chordata; Mammalia; Rodentia; Muridae.
GGACUACAGUUACAGACAGUGGUGAGCCACCACGCGGUUGCUGGGAAUUGAACUCAGGGCCCCUGGAGGAACAGCCAGUACUCUAACCCCAAGCCAUCCUUCUAGCCCAAGAGUACAUUUUUAAUCUGUUCUAAUAUAGACUAAUUUCUGGGUGUGUUUCUGAAUGUAACACAGUAACUUGCACUUCAGAGAUCUGACAAUUUUUCUGAAUAACAUGGAUGUAGUUUUUUUUUUCCCCAGUAAGCUAGGUCACUUCCUGCCUUCCUGUUUAGCUCAUUUCCACACUUGGCAGGGCCGGAUUCAGGUUGAAUUCUGAUAAAGAGAGGGUGUGUCUUUUUCAGCAUCUUGCCAAAAGAUGUCAGUCUGUCCAGAGAUAGUGAUAUUCAUUCUGAGCACUGGGAUAAGUAGGUUUUUCCAAUUUGAAAGGAGUUCUCCUUUGUAAUUACCAGCUACAACAAUGAAGACUGUAACUGGUUUUAGUGCCCACCGGUGAUUUCCAAGUCUGCCUCUCUCCUUUCCUGCCUGCUUCCUUCCUGUUACCUGCUCUCUUCCUCUCUCCCUUCCCUCCACCCUUUCUCCCUCUUCUUCUACCCCUCCCCCUCUUCCUUGCCUUCUCUCAUGCACUCUGCUCUUUCUCUCUCUUUCUUGGCAUUCUGUCAUAAAGAAACAUUGUCUCCAUUUCAUUAUCAACAUUCAGAACUUUCUACUCUGGUUUUAUCAGCAUGGCUGGGCGAUAUUUUAUAUAGUGGAUUAUAAUUCGUUGCCGUGGAUAGCUAUUUUGAUAUUUGAGUUGCUCCAGAUCCCACUAGCAGCAGCUCUCAGUUAACUCUCCCGGCUCCCCUGUUGUUUGGUAUUCCUUGAACACUUGCUUCC